RNAcentral lists this ribosomal RNA (297 nucleotides) under Triticum aestivum (bread wheat). RNAcentral's name for it is "partial small subunit ribosomal RNA". It matches the Rfam family "Eukaryotic large subunit ribosomal RNA", at positions 1890 to 2184 of the family's 3401-position model. Lineage: Eukaryota; Viridiplantae; Streptophyta; Magnoliopsida; Poales; Poaceae. The record is from RNAcentral.
AUGGAACAAUGUAGGCAAGGGAAGUCGGCAAAACGGAUCCGUAACUUCGGGAUAAGGAUUGGCUCUGAGGACUGGGCUCGGGGGUCCCGGCCCCGAACCCGUCGGCUGUCGGCGGAUUGCUCGAGCUGCUCACGCGGCGAGAGCGGGUCGCCGCGUGCCGGCCGGGGGACGGACCGGGAAUCGCCCCUUCGGGGGCUUUCCCCGAGCAUGAAACAGUCGACUCAGAAGUGGUACGGACAAGGGGAAUCCGACUGUUUAAUUAAAACAAAGCAUUGCGAUGGUCCUCGCGGAUGCUGA